Long non-coding RNA from Dicentrarchus labrax (European seabass), 1784 nucleotides. RefSeq lists it as uncharacterized. The record is from RefSeq and is a predicted model, not a curated record. Lineage: Eukaryota; Metazoa; Chordata; Actinopteri; Moronidae. The transcript is spliced from 2 exons.
GGAAGUAAUCGCCCGCGCCUAUCUGUACACAAACUAUCCCUGACUUUUGCCUUCAAGGACAAACUCGGACUCCUUCGCUAGCACUCGACGACUCCACUCACAACCAUUGAACAUCAUGCAUAAACAACCUGCAUCAUCUGGAGACAACAUCAUUCUAAGGUAACGUAAACACAACAAUUCUUUUUCUCAGGUGAUUAUACACUAAUAAAAACAUACAUAUGAAUAUUAUAUUCCAUUUCUGAUCUUCCUAAAUGUUACACACUGGACCUUAAAAAGGAAAUAAAUGUGGGAGCAUCCACAAGGGUAGGCAACAAGGGCAAAGUGUCAGGUAAAGUCAAGAUAUUUUUGAGUUUUCCUUUGGGCAAAGCAAGAAGACAUAGAGAAAAGAGGCAUCAAAGUCCCUUUCAAUCUCAUCAGUCUUCUACCUCAUUCAGGGUUUGCGUCUUGCCAUGGUCAUGCUGUUUUAGGGUCGUAGAAGGAUUUGAAGUCAAAACGAAUGUCAGCCCUCUGGGGCUGGAACUCCCCUGAAAGAAAGUUUCCUUUUCAUUUUCUUUUGAAAUCCUACUUUCAUCUCAUCUGCUCAAACUUCAAAACUAAAGUGCUAUUUUAGAGGUUAAAAUAAAUGUUAUAAAAUAUAAAAAUAACCAUAAAGCCUACUACUACAGUUACUAUUAUUACUACAGUCACUGUUCAUUGUCCCCCAUCGUUGUUGUUGUUGUUGUCGUCAUCAUCAGUCACUACCAUUAGUGUAGUUGUUGCUACUGUUGUUGCUGUAAAUGGUAAAUGGACCUGUACUUGUAUAGCGCCUUUCUAGUCUUCCGACCACUCAAAGCACUUUUUACACUACGUGCCACUUUCACCCUUUCACACACCUCCUUGGAAUGGCGCCGGCGACAACGGCAGCCUGUCAUGGCAACUCCUAUCAUUGUUGUAGUUUUAGUGUGUUUUCAGUGUGUCUUUAGCCUGUGUUUUUUUUCUAUUUUUAACUGUUUUCUUACUUUCUUAAUACUUUGUUCACGUCGCCUAAAUACUUUUUUGGCGUUUUUGAGCACUUUUAAUGUUUUGUUUGCACAUGAUCGCCCUGAGGCACCCUAGCAUCCUGACCAGAGAGAGACCCUCCAUACCGGAGGAGCUGAGGAGGAGACUGCGAGGCUGCAGAGCGGGGGUUAAACGGAGGAUGAAGAAGAGGAGGUUUAAACCCUACAUCCCUGCAGUCAUCACUGGAAACAAACGUGGCUACAGGAGCAGAUACCGAACUCCAACGUCACCAUUCCCGGCUUCCAGAUGGUUCGAGCCAAAAGGGACACCACCACAACCGGCAAGAAGAAAGGAGGGGGACUGGCCGUGCUCAUAAACAACAGGUGGUGUAACCCUUGGUACGUCUGUGUGAAAGCCCGGACAUCGAGCUUGUCGCUGUCGGACUUCGUCCAUGUUAUCUGCCACAGGAAUUUUCCAGUGUUAUCGCCAUCACUGUCUAUGUUCCUCCGUCUGGGAAAGCAGAAGCAGCGUGUGACGUCAUCCACACUGUGACUGCAGGACUACAAACGAAACACCCAGAGGCCUUCAUCAUCAUCACAGGGGACUUCAACCACGUUUCUCUCUCGUCCACACUCCCACCUUCCACCAGUUUGUCACAUACACUACCAGACACAAUAAGACCUUGGACCUGCUGUAUGCAUAUGUUCCUGUUUUUUAUAUCUGUAGCCUAUUUAUUUCCUACUCAAAUGUUGCUGUGACAAGUGAAUUGUGGGAUUAAUACUUUAAUAAAAAAAGUUAUCUAUCUA